UUUAUCCUUCUCUGGAUCAUGAUUGGCUUUAGAAUGGAGUUCUUCUCUAUUUCUUGCUUAAUAUGGUGCCCUACACAUGGCUGUCCCUCAAUGAAGAUGUUGAUUGCCAGGAGGCAUGAGAUGCUCCUUGACUUAUGGUGGAGUUACAUCCCAACAUAUCAUUAGCUGCUGUUGCAACAAGCAGGCAGGUAAAGACUGAAGAACAUGGACCUCAGACUCUCAGAGACCUGACAGAUGGAACUGAUACAAGACUAUCUCCACUCACAAGUUGGGGUGGGGAAAGGCAGUAACCAGAGUUAGAAAACUCUGAUGAAUA
Lemur catta (Ring-tailed lemur) is the source of this 316-nucleotide long non-coding RNA. RefSeq lists it as uncharacterized. Lineage: Eukaryota; Metazoa; Chordata; Mammalia; Primates; Lemuridae. The record is from RefSeq and is a predicted model, not a curated record. The transcript is spliced from 4 exons.